Haliotis rubra (blacklip abalone) is the source of this 525-nucleotide long non-coding RNA. RefSeq lists it as uncharacterized. NCBI's taxonomy places the organism in Eukaryota, Metazoa, Mollusca, Gastropoda, Lepetellida, Haliotidae. The record is from RefSeq and is a predicted model, not a curated record. The transcript has 3 exons.
UGAUCCAUAUGUUUCCAUUUUACUUCAAUUUGCCCAAUUCUGUGGGUAGGUUUCCUGUUUCAUACACUUUCACUUGUAAUGGAUGCUUGUGAAGAGUUAGUACACAAGUCUUUCUUGCUGUCUGGUGUAAUGAUAGGUCCACCUAAUGACAUCAACUUUUCUUUGUUAUCUGCAAGGGCUUGAGAGUUUUGAAAGAACAGAUGCACCACAUCAGUGGGAAAAGUGAAAGUGUCAGUAUUUUCCAGUGAUUGCAGUUUUCUUACAUCCUCAUCUUCUACUUUCCCAACACAAAUUCUUGACAGUAAUUUUGAAAACUCAGGAUCUCCUUUCUGCAGAACAGUUCGAGUUAGUUCAUGCAGACAAAAUGGCUUCUUCCUAGCCUUGUCUUUUCUUCAUCUACUGACAUGUGCUUAUGUGAUCUUUCUUGAUGUGUCAACAUCUUCCUGGCUUUGUCCUUUCUCUAGGAGCUGCUAAUUUGGACACUGAUCUGAUUUCAUCCUCUGUUUAUUUUUAUGGUCCAAUUAG